UACGUAGGUGGCGAGCGUUGUCCGGAUUUACUGGGCGUAAAGAGCGCGCAGGCGGCUGGUCAAGUCCGAUGUGAAAGCUCCCGGCUUAACUGGGAAAUUGCAUCGGAAACUGAUCGGCUGGAAGGUGGGAGAGGGUAGCGGAAUUCCCGGUGUAGUGGUGAAAUGCGUAGAUAUCGGGAGGAACACCAGUGGCGAAAGCGGCUACCUGGCCCAUUCUUGACGCUGAGGCGCGAAAGCUAGGGGACGAAACGGG
This 253-nucleotide ribosomal RNA is filed under the name uncultured bacterium. RNAcentral's name for it is "partial 16S ribosomal RNA". It matches the Rfam family "Bacterial small subunit ribosomal RNA", at positions 524 to 776 of the family's 1533-position model. The record is from RNAcentral.